RNAcentral lists this ribosomal RNA (319 nucleotides) under uncultured eukaryote. RNAcentral describes it as "partial 18S ribosomal RNA". It matches the Rfam family "Eukaryotic small subunit ribosomal RNA", at positions 1470 to 1796 of the family's 1831-position model. The record is from RNAcentral.
CCCUUAGAUGUUCUGGGCAGCACGCGCGCUACAAUGGUCUUCGCAAACGGAUGCAUUCUCGAAGCAGAAUGCCAAUCUUGGAAUCUAUGCCUUGGUCGGGACAGUUGCUUGCAAUUUUUCGACUCGAACCAGGAAUUCCUUGUAAUCGUGAUUCAUCACAUCACGAUGAAUACGUCCCUGCCCUUUGUACACACCGCCCGUCGCUCCUACCGAUCGAAGAGUUAGGUGAAUUGUUUUGAUCGAUAAGAUUUGACUAUGGUCAACUCUCGUUGUGAAAUUCUGUGAAUCUGACUGUUUAGAGGAAGGAAAAGUCGUAACA